RNAcentral lists this long non-coding RNA (1794 nucleotides) under Homo sapiens (human). RNAcentral describes it as "non-protein coding lnc-PCSK9-1:1". Lineage: Eukaryota; Metazoa; Chordata; Mammalia; Primates; Hominidae. The record is from RNAcentral.
GCUCCCGGAAGCGGCACGGGAGGCGACCGUGCUCGCCGUUGGCAGGCUAGGGUUGGCGGCGGCGUAUUCUGUUUGUUUUAAACGAAGGAGCGGAGGGAGGGGCCGCGCCGCGGAGCGUGCCUAAGGUGAAAGGGCUGCCGUGCAGCCAGGCAGAGGCGAGGAAGGCUUCUCCAUCGUCGCCACCGCCCGCCUGUUUCGCCGGCAACAGGUUCCCCCGGGACGGGAGGGGCCGCAGCGCCGCGCAGCUCGCAGCGCUGAACGUCGCGGAAAUCCCUUGGCCGGCCGAGCCUCCGCAGCCGCGACCCGGCUUCUCUCCGUCCGAGUCCCCCGAGCCUCUCCGAACCCCCGCCAGCCCUUGCCGAAAUCACCCUAAACCCGUUGAAAUUAAUUCCCAGCUGUCCGAAUUUUCCUUCCAACAUUAACUGACUACCUGUCUCCGCCAAGCUGACUGAACUCUACCGAACUCUUACCCUGAAAGCCCCUGAGAGUCCAAAAUAUAUUUUUCCAGCCCGAAAUCUAAAUCCCAGUUCUCUGUAUGAAAACCUCCAGAAACCCAGACUCUUACUUCCUUCGGCCACGGACUCGUUCGAACAUCGUGGACAUCACCUUCCCACAUUUUUACCGCAGUCUUUGGCUCCGAUUCUUUGUCCCUGCCUCUUGGGCAGCAUCCUAUCCCUGUUUCUUUCCACCUUUGAGGAUUCCUCUACCUCUUUAAAGGCCUGCUUUCUUUGCUUUCUCUUCUCACCUUUGGCAUUGGCACACUGGGGUCAUAUCUUUAGUUCCCUUGACUCCACCAUCUAAGCCAAGGGUGUCCAAUCUUUUGGCUUCCCUGGGCUACAUUGGAAGGAGAAAAAUUGUCUUGGACCACAUAUAAAAUAUUCUAACGCUAAUGGUAGCUGAUGAAACUUUUAAAAAAUCUCAUCAUGUUUUAAGAAGUUUACGAAUUUGUGCUGAGCCGCAUUCAAAGCCGUCCUGGGCCUAAGUCCUUGCUAUUUUUCCUCUUCAAUUUCCUUCAAUCCAUAGUUCUCUAGGUUAUUUUCCCACCCUUUCCCAAGAUUCGGAUAUCCCUUCAUUCUUGCUGAGUUCAUCUCCUAUGCCUAUUCCUACAUACUUGCUGAGUUCAUCUUCUAAUGUCCUCAUCCUGGUUUCUUCCUGAACCUGAAAUCCAGCUAACCUUACUUUUUCAUCCCAUCAAACCCCUGCUGUUGCCAGCCCAGCACUCACGAAGAUCUUUACAUACACCAAAUAUUAAAUUAGGGCCGGUACCUAGACAUUGUCUCUGCACUCUGCUGGCAUAUUUUCCCCUGGACCACGAACCCUUCGUACCUAGUAACUUGCCACCUGUGUUUAUAAAUACCAGCAAUUUGAUUUACAGGGUGAAUUUGUCACUAUUGUUUACUUUUAAAUGAAGUUACUGUAUUUGUUGUUUCCAUUAAAGGCGACAUUAUAAAGCCUAGGCCUCAUAUCCAAAGCAAAUAAAGUCUCAAUUUUUUAAUUAAAAGUAACAAAAGGAAACCUCACACUUCUGAACAACAAUGACAAGAAGGAAUGCCUAUAAUUGGUUUGGGUCACAAUGUACAUAUUGAAAUAAAAUUUUUAUUAAGUAUCAACUUCCAGGUACACAAUGAAGUUUUAAAUGUUUAUCUGUGACAUAUGAAGAACAAAGCAAUCUAAACUGAUGUAAGCAGGCUGUCAUAAGGUACAUGCUGAGGAAUUUAUUCAACAAAUUGAAUAAAUUUAUUCAAUAAAUAAAUAAUUAUUCAAUAAAUAAUAUAUUUAAUAAAUUUAAUAAAU